GGAAAAACAAGAGCAAUUGUCUCUCUGGGAGAUUGUCUCUCUGGGAGGCGUCUUCCUGGUUAUCCAGGUACAAACACCAGGAACAAGAUUUAGAGUGAUGGAGGAUGAAGUCAGUCAGAAAUGCUGAAAAAAAAAAAAAGGUAAACAUUGCCAGGCAUGUUUGGCUAGCGCUGCAGAGAAGGUCCAGUCUCUGAUCUUAUCUUCAGAGGGAGAUGGCACUCUACAGUUAACCCAUGCAGAAACUUCAGAAAGCAGACUGCUGAUGACAGAGUCUGGUUUAUGAGACCAGAUAGUCCAACCUCACAGGUUACUCCACAGCACGAGGAGCUGUGUACAUCUGCUCUGCUUAGAAGUUUCGAGUACAGAGAUAUUUCCAGAUAAGACAGACUUAUCUCUGCAAACAAAGCAGUGAGCAGGGGUUGCAGCAGCACAGAAGGGAUCUGCAGGCAGACAAGAUGUAGUACCUUCUAGAUUCUGAGAGCCCCAUCCAGCUAUCCUACUUCUCCAUGCUUUAAUCCAUUUUGAUGGUGCCCUUAAAGAGAGGCAAAGGAAACAUUUUUCCAUGUGCACUUAACAACAAGCGGUUUGAAGUCAUACAGCAUUAUGCAAGAAGUGAAGAAGUCAUAGAAAUUAAAGGCCACUUCAAGGCUGUCAUCUAUCCCAGCCCUUCGUUCAUGAGUCAGGAAUAAAUACUAAUAGGUUAUAUGUAAAAGAAGAUUGUAAAACUAAAGGAAGAGGGUAGCAUUGAGAGGGACUCCAGACUGCUCAGUAAAACUCAUUCCAUUCUUCCAUCAUACAGUCUAUUCUGCCUCCACUGAAAAUCACCUGAAAUUUCCUUUUGCUGUAAAGCUUUAAACCAAGCUCUGAGCAACUAAGAUGAAUAGCUAAACUAUUGUCAAAUUUGCGCAAUACAUGAUACACAGCAACAUGAGAGGCACCAUGAGCCCACAAAUGUACUCAGAGCAAGAGAACAGCAAGGUGACCUCACUCCAGCAUCACAGAACUCCAGGAAGGGCCAGCUGGCUCUCACCACAAGGCAGAGCUGCACAGAGGGAACCCCCUUCUCCUCACAGAUCCUUCACCAUCUCAACACCUCAGGACCCUUGA
RNAcentral lists this long non-coding RNA (1107 nucleotides) under Cyanistes caeruleus (blue tit). Its description in RNAcentral is "lncRNA (ENSCCEG00000017118.1)". Lineage: Eukaryota; Metazoa; Chordata; Aves; Passeriformes; Paridae. The record is from RNAcentral.